Molecule: ribosomal RNA, 894 nt
Filed under: Staphylococcus aureus
Lineage: Bacteria; Bacillati; Bacillota; Bacilli; Caryophanales; Staphylococcaceae
Description: partial 23S ribosomal RNA
Rfam family: Bacterial large subunit ribosomal RNA
Source: RNAcentral
AGUAAACGGCGGCCGUAACUAUAACGGUCCUAAGGUAGCGAAAUUCCUUGUCGGGUAAGUUCCGACCCGCACGAAAGGCGUAACGAUUUGGGCACUGUCUCAACGAGAGACUCGGUGAAAUCAUAGUACCUGUGAAGAUGCAGGUUACCCGCGACAGGACGGAAAGACCCCGUGGAGCUUUACUGUAGCCUGAUAUUGAAAUUCGGCACAGCUUGUACAGGAUAGGUAGGAGCCUUUGAAACGUGAGCGCUAGCUUACGUGGAGGCGCUGGUGGGAUACUACCCUAGCUGUGUUGGCUUUCUAACCCGCACCACUUAUCGUGGUGGGAGACAGUGUCAGGCGGGCAGUUUGACUGGGGCGGUCGCCUCCUAAAAGGUAACGGAGGCGCUCAAAGGUUCCCUCAGAAUGGUUGGAAAUCAUUCAUAGAGUGUAAAGGCAUAAGGGAGCUUGACUGCGAGACCUACAAGUCGAGCAGGGUCGAAAGACGGACUUAGUGAUCCGGUGGUUCCGCAUGGAAGGGCCAUCGCUCAACGGAUAAAAGCUACCCCGGGGAUAACAGGCUUAUCUCCCCCAAGAGUUCACAUCGACGGGGAGGUUUGGCACCUCGAUGUCGGCUCAUCGCAUCCUGGGGCUGUAGUCGGUCCCAAGGGUUGGGCUGUUCGCCCAUUAAAGCGGUACGCGAGCUGGGUUCAGAACGUCGUGAGACAGUUCGGUCCCUAUCCGUCGUGGGCGUAGGAAAUUUGAGAGGAGCUGUCCUUAGUACGAGAGGACCGGGAUGGACAUACCUCUGGUGUACCAGUUGUCGUGCCAACGGCAUAGCUGGGUAGCUAUGUGUGGACGGGAUAAGUGCUGAAAGCAUCUAAGCAUGAAGCCCCCCUCAAGAUGAGAUUUCCC